RNAcentral lists this transfer RNA (76 nucleotides) under Acidobacteriota bacterium. Its description in RNAcentral is "tRNA-Ile". It matches the Rfam family "tRNA". From Rfam's summary of the family: Transfer RNA (tRNA) molecules are approximately 80 nucleotides in length. Their secondary structure includes four short double-helical elements and three loops (D, anti-codon, and T loops). Lineage: Bacteria; Pseudomonadati; Acidobacteriota. RNAcentral also lists the same sequence under 3 other names. The record is from RNAcentral.
GGGCCCUUAGCACAAUGGUUAGUGCAGCGGACUCAUAAUCCGUUGGUUGCAGGUUCGAGUCCUGCAGGGCCCACCA